AGUGAACGCUGGCGGUAGGCCUAACACAUGCAAGUCGAACGGCAGCACAGUAAGAGCUUGCUCUUACGGGUGGCGAGUGGCGGACGGGUGAGGAAUACAUCGGAAUCUACUUUUUCGUGGGGGAUAACGUAGGGAAACUUACGCUAAUACCGCAUACGACCUACGGGUGAAAGCAGGGGAUCUUCGGACCUUGCGCGAUUGAAUGAGCCGAUGUCGGAUUAGCUAGUUGGCGGGGUAAAGGCCCACCAAGGCGACGAUCCGUAGCUGGUCUGAGAGGAUGAUCAGCCACACUGGAACUGAGACACGGUCCAGACUCCUACGGGAGGCAGCAGUGGGGAAUAUUGGACAAUGGGCGCAAGCCUGAUCCAGCCAUACCGCGUGGGUGAAGAAGGCCUUCGGGUUGUAAAGCCCUUUUGUUGGGAAAGGAAAGCAGCAGGUUAAUACCCCACUGUUCUGACGGUACCCAAAGAAUAAGCACCGGCUAACUUCGUG
Molecule: ribosomal RNA, 492 nt
Filed under: uncultured bacterium
Lineage: Bacteria
Description: partial 16S ribosomal RNA
Rfam family: Bacterial small subunit ribosomal RNA
Source: RNAcentral